AAGUCGUAACAAGGUUUCCGUAGGUGAACAUGCGGAAGGAUCAUUAACACGUAUCCAAACGUUAAAACACCCCCCGUGAACCUUCAUCCUGCUCUUGUAACCCGCGUAAUUCGCAAUCUCUGAUAAAUCAUAGCCCGGAGACCUCUGGCUACGUGCGAACAUUGGAACAGUUACAAUCGAGCGGUAGUUCUAUAGGCAAUGUUUCCCCAAGCAGUCAGUGUCGGAAAGUGUCAUUGAUUGUGCAAGGAUAGCGCUUCUACGAUUCCUGUAGAAUUUGCCAAAGGGUCCCCAUGCCCCCUAAUAACCCUACAGUUUAAUGUGAAGCUCAAUGUAAUACAUUGGGUAAAAAAACCGAACAACUGUUAACAAUGGAUAU
Molecule: unclassified non-coding RNA, 376 nt
Filed under: fungal sp.
Lineage: Eukaryota; Fungi
Description: partial internal transcribed spacer region
Rfam family: Eukaryotic small subunit ribosomal RNA (bases 1-46)
Source: RNAcentral